CAUGGAGGUGGAGCCUGAGAAUCUCAGUUCUUAGCCAGCUCCCUAGCUGAUUCCUUGGCUUCUUAAAGUUUAAUACCUAAUGCCUUAAAAAUACUAACUUUCUGAAAUUCUACCCUCGUAAUUUCUUCCUUCUUCUUUUAUGCUCCAGCUAGCCCAUCACCUGGCAUGCAGGAGAUGGAUUCAGUAUUUAUGAGAUGAAUGAAUAAUGUCGACCAAAGCGCUAGCUUCAGCCAUUGCCUGUGUGCUGAGGACUCAAAUCAUCUCCAGCCCUUUCUCUUCUGAGCCCGCCCUCGACAAAACACCCAACUGCUGAACAUACAACAGGAAAACAAAAAGAUGUCCCCUCCUCUUGUGGUCAUCCAGUGGAGGCACGAAGGAAUCCCACCCCUAGUUUGUUUGGAUGUCAAGGCUGAUGAUACCACACAAACACCGAAAGGGUUUGAAACACUUCAUCACACGUGGGCUUACAGCAGCAGCUUGGACAGAGAUGAGGCCCUGGGCCAGCAAAAGAGGGGAGAUAAAAACAAGACCCUUACAUAAAUCUGAGAAGCUGGAAACAAUUCUUCCCGCGGCCAAAGGUGAUGACGAGAUUCUGUCUGUCUUAGGCUGCACUCAGUCUUCUAGAAAGCAGUUCAGUGGCUGCCAGGGACUGGGAGGAGGGGGGCUGGGGACUAAUGGGUACCAGAUUUCCUCUCAGGGCGAUGAAAGUGUUCUAGAACCAGACCGUGGUGAUGGUCGCAUUAUACUGUGAAUGUACUAAAUUGUACACUUUAAAAUGGUUAGGAUGCUGAAGCUGACCACAGUAAAAGACCCCUAAGAAAUUAUUACCACAGCCCUCCUGUCAUGUGGAUUUGGGAUUGAAUUUAGACUACCAGCAUGGUCAAGGGGCUCCCAGGCAAGAAAUUAACAUAAGACAUGGUCUCCGGCUGGUGAUACGCUUCAAAGCUUUGAGAGGAAUAAAUACUUCUGUAACUCUGGAACA
Molecule: long non-coding RNA, 982 nt
Filed under: Sus scrofa (pig)
Lineage: Eukaryota; Metazoa; Chordata; Mammalia; Artiodactyla; Suidae
Description: lncRNA (ENSSSCG00040049509.1)
Source: RNAcentral